This 546-nucleotide ribosomal RNA is filed under the name uncultured bacterium. RNAcentral describes it as "bacterial SSU rRNA". It matches the Rfam family "Bacterial small subunit ribosomal RNA", at positions 730 to 1265 of the family's 1533-position model. The record is from RNAcentral.
UGGACCGCAACUGACGUUGAGGCGCGAAAGCUAGGGGAGCAAACGGGAUUAGAUACCCCCCGGUAGUCCUAGCCCGUAAACGAUGGGCACUAGGUGUAGGAGGUAUUGACCCCCUUCUGUGCCGCAGCUAACCGCAUUAAGUGCCCCGCCUGGGGAGUACGGUCGCAAGACUAAAACUCCAAAGGAAUUGACGGGGGCCCGCACAAGCGGUGGAGCAUGUGGUUUAAUUCGACGCAACGCGAAGAACCUUACCUGGGUUUGACAUCCCCGCGGCGGUAACAGAAAUGUUGCUUUCCCUUCGGGGACGCGGUGACAGGUGCUGCAUGGCUGUCGUCAGCUCGUGUCAUGAGAUGUUGGGUUAAGUCCCGCAACGAGCGCAACCCAUGCCCUUAGUUGCCAGCGAGUAAAGUCGGGAACUCUAAGGGAACCGCCGGUGAUAAACCGGAGGAAGGUGUGGAUGACGUCAAGUCCCUCCAUGGCCUUUAUGCCCAGGGCUACACACGUGCUACAAUGGCCGGUACAAAGGGCUGCAAUUCCGCGAGGAGG